Molecule: unclassified non-coding RNA, 278 nt
Organism: Castor canadensis (American beaver)
Lineage: Eukaryota; Metazoa; Chordata; Mammalia; Rodentia; Castoridae
Gene: 7SK
Rfam family: 7SK RNA
About the family: 7SK was discovered as an abundant small nuclear RNA in the mid-70s but a possible function has only recently been suggested. Two independent studies have found that 7SK RNA binds the CDK9/cyclin T complex (known as elongation factor P-TEFb). P-TEFb activates transcription by phosphorylating the C-terminal domain of RNA polymerase II.
Source: Ensembl
GGAUAUGAGGGCAAUCUGGCUGCAACAUCUGUCACCCCACUGAUCACCAUGGCUGAUUUAAUUCAUCUAGGUUUAUGUCCCCUUCCUUCCUCACCACUCCAUUUGCGUCCCUCUCCAAAGUGCAUGCUCAGUUGAAGAGGAUAACCAUCCCUGACAGAGGACGACUAGUCUCUGGUCAAGGGUAUACCAAGUAGCAAUACUUCUCCUGCUAGAACCUCCAAACAAGCUCUCACGAAAUCUAGAGUCCAGGUAAGAGAAGGGCCAUCUAACUCUGAGCU